Molecule: ribosomal RNA, 711 nt
Filed under: Streptomyces sp. CNQ-617
Lineage: Bacteria; Bacillati; Actinomycetota; Actinomycetes; Kitasatosporales; Streptomycetaceae
Description: bacterial SSU rRNA
Rfam family: Bacterial small subunit ribosomal RNA
Source: RNAcentral
CUUACACAUGCAAGUCGAACGAUGAACCUCUUUCGGGGAGGGGAUUAGUGGCGAACGGGUGAGUAACACGUGGGCAAUCUGCCCUGCACUCUGGGACAAGCCCUGGAAACGGGGUCUAAUACCGGAUAUGACCACCGGCCGCAUGGUCUGGUGGUGGAAAGCUCCGGCGGUGCAGGAUGAGCCCGCGGCCUAUCAGCUUGUUGGUGGGGUGAUGGCCUACCAAGGCGACGACGGGUAGCCGGCCUGAGAGGGCGACCGGCCACACUGGGACUGAGACACGGCCCAGACUCCUACGGGAGGCAGCAGUGGGGAAUAUUGCACAAUGGGCGCAAGCCUGAUGCAGCGACGCCGCGUGAGGGAUGACGGCCUUCGGGUUGUAAACCUCUUUCAGCAGGGAAGAAGCGCAAGUGACGGUACCUGCAGAAGAAGCACCGGCUAACUACGUGCCAGCAGCCGCGGUAAUACGUAGGGUGCGAGCGUUGUCCGGAAUUAUUGGGCGUAAAGAGCUCGUAGGCGGCUUGUCGCGUCGGAUGUGAAAGCCCGGGGCUUAACCCCGGGUCUGCAUUCGAUACGGGCAGGCUGGAGUUCGGCAGGGGAGAUUGGAAUUCCUGGUGUAGCGGUGAAAUGCGCAGAUAUCAGGAGGAACACCGGUGGCGAAGGCGGAUCUCUGGGCCGAUACUGACGCUGAGGAGCGAAAGCGUGGGGAGCGAA